This 2870-nucleotide long non-coding RNA is filed under the name Mus caroli (Ryukyu mouse). RNAcentral's name for it is "predicted gene, 19409 (MGP_CAROLIEiJ_G0034572.1)". The record is from RNAcentral. Lineage: Eukaryota; Metazoa; Chordata; Mammalia; Rodentia; Muridae.
UUAAGUUCUUGUGCUUACGGUACGUUUUUUGUGAAUAGCAUCAUUCAGGACUCUUUAAAGUUCUUUUUUAAAAAGAGUCACUUUACAACCUUGGUAUAAGCAGGUCCUUACUGAUUUUGGCAGGACUUGAUUUCCGAUAACCUGUAAAUUUGAUGGAAAAACCAAAUUGGGCAAACAGUGGGCUUUGACAGUCUGAGCAGAGUCUGAGACAGGGGGUGGUUGAGAGUCCCUCAUCGGUCUGAGGCCUAUAUCCCUACCUCCUACAGCUGAGUGUCCCUGAGGGCUGCUGUCUGGUGGGGGCAAUUCCCAGGGUUGUGUCUGCCACCUGCCAACUUGCCCAGCUUGCCAUACCUAGUGUUGACAUAGAGUCCCAAGGUGUGUGCUUUUUCCCUGUAAGAAACUCAGUUUAAGUUAGUUUGUGCUCAUAGCCAGGAAGUUCUUCAAAGACGUGCCUGAACUCGAGGGCUCCUAACGACUGUGUGUACCUCAAUGCCAGCCUCCAUUGGUUCCUUUUUUCCUCUCCCAGAUUUCGGUGUAGUGUUAGGAAAUUCCUGCAAGGCAGUUCUAAUGAAUAAGAGGUAUUGGAUACAUUUGGGAUUGUUUGUUUGUUUGCUUGUUUAACUCCAGGCCACAAAGGGAGGGCAUGGUCCACUCCUAGAACUCACCAUGACAGACUCUCUCAUUAGGGUUUUUGAGGUUGCAAACAGUGAGUUUGCUCCCAGGCUUUGCUCACUCAUGGCCUGUUGGCAGCCUCCUCAGGGCCACUCCCUGCCCCGUGCCCAUCAGAUUAGUUCACAGUAGCAAAGACGGUUGUCGCCCUAGUUUUAAACAUAGAGAUGGGGUUCAGGAGGAUAACAGCCCCCAUCCAACAGUAGGGUCUGUUCUGUGUCGAAGGCCAGUCUGGGUUUAAACGGCAGGAUGCACCUGCCUGUGGUCCUAUGGGAGCUCUGGGGCCUGAGAGCUACAUUCCUUUUUCUGGUCCUCUCUGUGUCACAUAGCUCACCCAAAUACCCGAGGAGGACAGAAGGAGACAGCUGUGCUGGAGAGCUGCCCUUCCUGGGCCGAGUGUAUUUUGGGAAUCAGUGUUAUUACUGGGGUGGAGGGUGGUGAAUUAAGCAAGGAAAUGUGUCAAGGCUAGAGAGCUGAGGCGAGUGUGAGGUGUGGUGUUCUGUGUGCAGUGUGCUAUGGGACAAUACCUUCUCAGGGCAUCGGGGUGGCUUUUAUAUGGGUUAAUUUGCCUUUGAAAUACAUACCAGUGUUUUAUGGAUAAUGACUGAAUGCUUUAUAAACUGGUCCUCUUAAGAAACAAGACUGAAACAGCUCUUACACACCGACCCAGCUGCUAUUGUAGGUAAUUGUUAAGAUCAGGGAGAGGGGCAUGAUUUGGACCAAGUUAGACCUAGAGCUGAGUGGUAUGUUAUGGUUUUAUAGGACUGCAUUUCCUUGAUCUGGAGACUAACCUGUAAUUUACCCACAGCUUUUACGUAAAGAGGUGUGUGUGUGUGUGUGUGUGUGUGUGUGUGUGAGUGUGUGUGUGUGUGUAUUCUGAGCUACAUCCUAGUUUGAGAAGCAAGAAGUAGCAACCCUGCAAGGGGAGAUCUUUGUGUGUCUUUGAGUUAGAGUGUUGUUCUUGUUUCUGUGGAGAUGCCAGGGCUGCUCCACCUAACAGCCCAUGCAUUGUCAAGGUGGGGACCUCUGACACCUUCCUCCAAUCUAAUGCUCUCUGUGGGCUGAGGUGACUAACUAGCCUUAGACAUGCUACUUACUGAACAAAACAGUUCCCACAUGGGAGUCCACUCAGAGCUAGAAUAGGGAACUCUCCAGAAAUUUAGCAAGCAGCUGGAAGCAAGCAUCUUUUGAAUUAUCUCUGAAUGUAGGCAAGCAGCAUGUUCAGAAGCAUAUAGAAGAUCUACAUUUUUGGGCCAAAAUGCAUGUGCUCUACUUAUGUAUAGAAAUGUUUGUCAGGAUCGUAGACACACGCUGGAACUGGAAAGGACAGAUGUCCUAAUGUCCUCAUUUCAGGUUUUGACACGAGACUCUUAAGAGUUAUGUGAUUUGCCCCAAAGUGACUGAACUAAUUUAAAGAGUAUCUGAGAGCACUGUCAACUGUGUACACCGUGCAGGUGACUGUUGGUGGUUAUUAGGGUCUGAGUCAGGAUUAGAACUCACAUUUCCAGACUAGCACUAUUCUAUACGGCCACGAUGCUGCGUUUGUCACAUUUAAUAAUCCAAAGGGCUGUAAUAAAAAUAAUUUAGUAGUCUGUAAUUAGCCCUGUAGACAAAGGCUGCUUUUAUUGUCUGAGAUGUUGCAAGGCCAGGCAAAAUGUAAUGUCAAAGGGUCUAAUUAAAUAUUUAUUCUUGCCACCUUACAAAUAACAAUUUUCCCUCACAAGUUCCAUUCCUGCUCUGGGACUCUUCUUUUGAAAACUGUGCAUCUACUGACUGAAAGCAAAUGCAAAGUUGGGUGUUGACAUCUUCACGGCUUAUCUCCAAGGCUGCUGUGUUCUGGAAAGCAAAGCAGAGAGCACAGUUCUGGGGCUGAGUGGAAGCAAACCUGAGGGGUUCCCUCCCAGUGCUCAGACGGACCCUUGUAUAGGUCCUGGGAGCCACAGGAAUGUCUCACCCCCUGGACUAAAGGAUUUCUCAUCCUUUAGAAACUAAGUUGAUGGGACUGGAGAGAUGGCUCAGUAGUUAAGAGCACUGACUGCUCUUCCAAAGGUCCUGAGUUCAAUUCCCAGCAACCACAUGGUGGCUCACAACCAUCUGUAAUGGGGUCUGAUGCCCUCCUCUGGUGUGUCUGAAGACAGCAACAGUGUACUCAUAUACAUAAAAUAAAUUAAAAAUAAAUAAAAAUACAUGAAAAAAAGAUU